GCGCUCACUUCAACAGCACAUAUACUAAAAAUUGGAACAAUACAGAGAAGAUUACCAUGGCCCCUGCAUGAGGAUGACAUGCAAAUUCGUGAAGCAUUCCAUAACAAA
RNAcentral lists this small nuclear RNA (108 nucleotides) under Prolemur simus (greater bamboo lemur). Lineage: Eukaryota; Metazoa; Chordata; Mammalia; Primates; Lemuridae. The record is from RNAcentral.